This 354-nucleotide long non-coding RNA is filed under the name Octodon degus (degu). RNAcentral's name for it is "RNase MRP (ENSODEG00000025900.1)". It matches the Rfam family "RNase MRP", at positions 1 to 161 of the family's 266-position model. Rfam says of the family: RNase MRP is an enzymatically active ribonucleoprotein with two distinct roles in eukaryotes. In mitochondria it plays a direct role in the initiation of mitochondrial DNA replication. Lineage: Eukaryota; Metazoa; Chordata; Mammalia; Rodentia; Octodontidae. The record is from RNAcentral.
GUUCAUGCUGAAGGCCUGUUUCCUAGGCUACAAUUGGAGGACUCGUUUCUCACCCACUUGCGUAGGGGAAAGUCCCCGGACCUAGGGCAGAAAGUGCCACAUGCUCACACAUGUAGACUUGUCCGUGUCUCAUGCUUAGCCCGCUAAGAAGCAGUCAAAUAAUCCAUAGUUGAGAAAAACCACUCCUGAAAGGAGAAUGUGGGUUGCUUCACCUCAGGUGCCUCCGGGAUGGAUUCUGACUCGUCUUUGUUUGCUGUGGACUCCAGCAUGUCUAAGUGUCUGGCAAGAGUGUGUUCUCCAUUUCCCUUGCCGGGAUCAUUUCACCACUUCCUGCAUCUCUCAAUUCAGAGUAAA